Molecule: long non-coding RNA, 13247 nt
Filed under: Prunus persica (peach)
Lineage: Eukaryota; Viridiplantae; Streptophyta; Magnoliopsida; Rosales; Rosaceae
Description: long non-coding RNA (PPER_LNC002903)
Source: RNAcentral
AAAACACGAAAAUUAAGUGCAAGUGAGAUGAAUAUAGAUAGGCCUCAUGCUGCAAGCAGACUCGUACUAACAAAGGUUCAAGCAAGAAUAACAGCUGCAAAAUUAGGCUUGUUGUCCAAUCAGAGGCCGCCCUUCUGUUUCAAGGUGAUCUUGUCCCCAAGACUGAAGGGCAAUGCCUCGAGUCUUGCUUCUAAUUCUGAUGUAUCCACUGAGCUUACCAUCUGCUUGUUUCUCAAAACUCACAUUCACCAAAGUAUCCUCCCCAAAAACACUCUUUGGGUACAGAGGACUCCACAUUCUCCUUCCAGUGUCGAUCUAAUGCCCAAUUAGCCAGGGAUGAGCAGGAAUUAAUGACCAUCAAUCAUCCGCCCAGAAGGCGUAAAGAUUUUAAAAAGAAAAUACACGUACUCCUACAUGCAUGUUACACGUAUUUAUGCACCUAUGGAAAAUGUCAAUAUUGAACUGUAUUUUGUUUACAUUAUGACAUGGUGGCUAAGUUUUUACGUAAAAGUUUGGAUUUGUAUAAAGAGAAAUAGAAGACAUAAAUUUCAAAUGAUUCUCUCUGUCUAGUCAUUUCAACAUUCAAAUUCAAAAGAUUCCAUCUGAAUUUAGUUUAACAUAAAUUGUACUUAAUGAAAAAUAAACAUAGAUUGUAUUGCAUUUAAUGUUUCAUGGUGAUGUAAACACUGUUACAAACCUAUCGUUUUAAAUUUGUCCAUCAAAAUGGAACAUAAGUAAAACUGAGAUUGUUUUGUCUCUCAAGAGUGAUGCCGCGUCUAAAAGGUCAAACUUACCAUCAUCCAGGAUAUCUAAUCUCUGAUUUGAUGGUAUCCAAUUCCUACACUCUGAAUAAAUGAAUAAAAGAAAAAGGAGAGAGAGAACUUAAAUAUAAAAAGGGGUUGAAAUCUCAAUUCUAACAAUUCCAAAACUACACUUCUAACCUUUGAUAACCUAUACUGCUUCAAAUCACCAACUGAAAGAUUUCUGAGUCAAAGGUAUCCCAAGUGCGACUCAUAGGAAUAAUUGUGCACAAUAGGAAAAAAACAAGCUCAUUAUUUUUUUUAAAAUCUAAUGCCAGGGUGUGCAUGCCCAAGGUUAUCAAAUAAAAUGUCCCUUCCCCUGUAUGCAAAACAUAAUUUUUUGCAUAGUAAAUUUUUGUUUAUUCUUUCAUAUGUACACUUUUAGCAUACCUUCAGAACAAGUUAUCUAGCCUUCAUGAACCACAUUAUAUCAAGGGGGAAUGCAAAAAAACAUAUGUUGCAGUAAAUCUUCGAGCAAGAAAAAACAAAAACAGUUGUUGCAAUAAAUCUUGAGUGCAAUACCUGGGAUUCUGCCAUAUCUUGAUGUUUCAAACAUUUCCUUAAGGCCAUAUCAGCGAGCUAUGUGCCUCAUCAAUAGUGUGAACACGAUUUAAAUCUGAGAUGGCUGGUGUCUAAUUUUCAAUUUUUUCUUCAAACAAAGCCAGUUCCAAACUCAAAUACUUACAGGUUGCAACUGGUGACAAGCAUAAAAGUUUGUAAGAAGUUAUUAAUAUAGAUCCUCUAAUGUAAAGAGUUAGGACAACCUUACGAUGAAUACUAAUGCAGUAGAACAUUUUAGAUAGAAAAUAAAGGAUAUCUAUAUACAAGUACUAUAGCCACACUAUUCAAUGAUACUUUAGCAGUUUCUUAAUUUAAGGUUUUAUGUUUCUGUAUUCUAUUUAGGGGGAUGGGGGCAGGGAAGAUAAUGAUAGAAGUGAGCUCACAAGUGUAAUUUUUCUGAGGGAUGCCAAGGGUCAUUAGUCAUGACUCACAACUAGUCAUCAAAAGCCAUAAAGGCCAAGACUACAAAUCAGAGGCUCUACUUUUGUUUCUUAGAAUGGUUAGCCUUUGACUUCAUAGUUCCUUUGAAAACCUUAGGGUUUGUUGUGAUUAACAGAGAUAUGUUUUCCUUUUUCCCUUUCAAGGAACACAUUUCAUCACCAGCUAAAUAUUUCAUCGUCUCAUUGCACUCUUCAAUAUGUCAGCGUGUAUUAAAGUCAAGGCUACUCAGAUUUUGUAUCAAAGAAGUACAGAAACGUUGAAAAAGAUUGAGCUGAAGUUGGCAAAGUAAAGAUGCCAAAGAUUCCAUUAUUAGAAACCGGUAUGAACUAAAAAUAGUAGUUCCGCUAUUUUUAUACAUUUUGAGUCUCCAUUUAUGAUCCCCUCGUGAUGUUGAUCAGCCCACAACCAUGGGCUAGAAAGAGCAAAAAAGUUUGGUGAAAUCACGUGACAGAGAGAUACAAAAAGACAGGUAAGGGAUUCCAGUCUACAAAAACAUUACAAUUAUAUUAAGGCUCUUUUCUCAGCAUGUUCUAAAAUAGCAGUUCCAGUUUGUAAUCACAAUAAGGGCUUCAAGAAGAAAAGUCUGAAAUAUCCGUAGAAAUUUAAAUUUUGCUCUCUUUGACGCCACACCAUAACUGCUUUUAGCUUUAGUACCAAUUGGUUUACUUAAGCGGGCAAUAAGGGAGACGAAUAUCUGUACAUAACUAUCAUAAAGGACGACAACGUGAAAACCUUCCAGAGUCAAGUCAAACAAGCCUUAGAUUCCUUAACCAAAAGAAAAUAGUAUAUAUGCUAUCAACCUUAAUGCAAUUUUAUUUUCAAAUAAAGAUACUUAAGAAUCAGACAACCCUGAUUUGUAAACAGAUGGUAAUGAUAUCAUAGGUGCCCCCAGCUCAACACAGUUACCACCUAUGCAAAGGCCCAACAACUCUAUGUCAAGUUACAAUAAUAGAACUAUUAAUGAGAGGAAAUGGACUUAAAAGUUUAUUCAUCAGACAGACUUGAAAUAGGAGCUGAUAGGAGCUAAUAGGAGCUACAUACAUAGAGAAUUUCAAUCUUACAACAUAUAAUGGAAAUUUGUCAUUAUAUUCAAGUGAAUACAACUUGACAUAACUUAUUAAACUGCUAACAGAUGACACUCCAUAAGUACAUGGCACAGUGAAAAUCAUAAAUGAGUUCACCAAAACAAGAUGUUGCUAAAAGAACAAGAUGAAAAAAUGACAUGGUAAACGAAACAAUUAUGCUCAGACCAAAAAAGAAAAGCAACAAUUAUGAACUAAUUAUUUUCAUCCUAACCCAGCAAUAACUAUAAACUCCUAAAAGCAAUUGAAUUACAAGUAAUGAAACAAUCUUCAAACAAAUAAGAUGCAAAAAAUGAGUUAUGUACAGAUCUACCAACCUCCCAUGUUCAAGGAUCAUUUUGGAGAUGGUAAGGAGAUGUAACAUGUAUCCCAUGGUCUACAGUCAGCAGUAUUAAGAAUAAGAAUAUGCACCUGCACAUUAACCAUAUUACUUCAGAACAAGAUGCGCAAAUUAAAUAUGAUAACUUUUUUAAAAUAAGAAUUCUUCAUGCAGAAAGUAAACACCUAACCUUUUGAAUGUUUCCAUAUCAUUCCUGAUUUGCACAUGUAGUGGGCUGAUGCAACCCAUGAACCAAUGUUGUAUAUGUAAUCUCAUCUAAACCUACACCUUUACUGGACAUAUGAUCACAUACUUCAAAAGCUUCUUCCACCAUCCUUUCUUUGCAAAAUCCAUUUGUUAAGGCAUUAUAGGUAACGGCAUCUGGGGCAAUUCCCAUUUUUGCCAUCUCGCAUAGAAGUUUAGUUGCUUCUUCCAUAUUGCCUAGUUUAGAAUACCCAUCAAUCAUGACAGUGUAGGUAAUCUUAUUAGGUUGUAUGUUAUCUGAAGACAUCUCCAGAAAGGCACUCCUUACUUUAUCCAUUUGGCCUAGCUUACAAUAACCAUGAAUCAGUGCAGUGUAACAAACAACAUUUGGCAACAAACCAUCCUUCCUCAUUUCAUCCAGAAGGCAUUUUGCAUCCUCAACAUCGCCAAUAUUGCAUAGUCCAUGUAUAAGAGAAGAAUAUGUGCCACAAGAUGGUUGAAUGCCCUUCUUUUUCAUGUCACAACGAAGACCAAGGGCAGCAGUCAUAUUCCCAUCUGUGCAGUAUGCUCUGAUUAGUGUAUUAUAAACAACUGAAUUUAGUUCCACUUCCUUAUUCACCAACUUACUGAAGAGAUUUUCACCCUCUUUCAUUCUUCCAGCUUGACAGUACCCAUCUAUCAUCACCCCAUAUGUAUAGACAUUGGGAACAAGACCACGAUUUUCACACUCAUCCCAAAGUUUAACCGCAUCGUCCACUUUUCCCAUAUUACAUAGGCCAUGCAUUAGCAAAUUAUAAGUGUAAGUAUCUGGUUCAAUUCCUUGUUUAGCCAUCUCUUCCUUAAGCUUAAAACCUUCCUCCACUUUUCCCUCCUUGCAACAACCCAAGAUAAGUGUGUUGUAUGAGAUUCUAUCCAAUACCAAACCUCUUUCUAGCAUCGGUUUGAGUAGCAUAACAACCUCUUGCAUGCUACGAGAUUCACAAAGUCCAUGAAUUAGAGCAUUUGAGGUCGCUGUGUUGGCUGCAACUCCUUUCUCCCAUAGCCUAAACCAAAGCCCAAGUGCCUCAGAAUGCUUUCCAUCUUUACAGAGCCCACCAACCAAUGUGGUAAGCAAGCUAUCACUGGGCCUAAAGUUUCUUAAUAGCAUUUCAGUAGUGAAUUUUAGUGCAGAAUCAAACCUAGACUUCAUGCAUAACCAGUGAAUAACCGAGAAACAAACAGCUUGGUUUAUGGAUAAACCACCAGAUAUAAUCUUGUCUAAAACUUGCUCAGCAUGAUCAAAUUGAUCACUUCUACAAAACCCCUGCAGUAGAGAAUUAAGAGUAACAGAAUUGGGAGUUAACCCAUUGGAUAACAUAUUAUCCCUUAUCUUUAGUGCCUCACUAAUAUUUCCCGUUUUACAAUAUCCAUCAAUCAAUGUGUUAUAGACAACCUCGUUCGGGACAAAUCCUCUGUUGCACAUUUCCUUCAAAACACAAUUUGCAUCAUGAAACUUCUCCAGCUUUAUCAAACCAUUAAUGAGCACACUAUAUGUUAUAAGACUCGGGCUCACAUUGUUUUCUAUCAUCUUCUUCUUAAACUGGAAGGCCUCUACUAAUCUUCUGCUCUUACAGAGCCCAUGAAUAAUAUUAUUGUACGUAACCACAUUUGGGACAAUACCCAGCCCCUCCAUUUUCGAAAACAAACCUAUUGCAUCAUCAACCUUUCCUCCCUUACAAAAUGCAUUAAUCGCAGUAGUAAACAAGUAAACAUCAGGAGAAACACCUCGGCACAUAACUUCAAAUACAUCAUAACUCUUAUGAAGUUCGUUAGCCUUCACUAAAGAACUCAACAAAAAGUUACAAGUCUUCAAUGAUGGAAAAACACCCUUUUUAGAAAAAAUUACAAACGCAUCAAUGGCAUAACCAAAACCCAUAUUCUUGAAUUGCGUACAGUAAACAUGAAUCAACAAAUCCAAUGCCUGAACCCCAAGACCUUGUGUGGACACGGUAUUCAAGUCUAACAUGGCAAUGGCAAUCUCCAUAUGCCUUUGAUUGUGGUUAGCAUAUAAAACUGGCACAUUCCCAUCAAUCAAACGGAUCAAAAGCAAUCUCGCAGGCGACACAAGAUUCGAAAGAAUAAGCAGACGAACUAAAACACAAAAGGAUCGUACAGUAAACUGAAACUUAAAAGAUUCAGAAGCAAAGUAAAAGAAAUGAAGAGCUGUUUUGGGGUUCACAUUGGAGCUAAUGGAACAGAAUACCCUAUCAAAUUCAUGAGAGGACAAAAGGGGUAUCAGAGCUUUACAUUUAGAAGAAUCCAGAGAUGGUUUUGAAAGAAUAGAAGAUACCCAGUUGUGCAAACUCUGAUUGGGAGGCUGUGGUUCCUUCGGAACCUGUAAUGGUGGCGGUUGAGGAGGCUCUUUGGGGCGUUGGAGGUUGCAGGUAACGCACGUUAAGGGGCGGUUGAUGCGGAAGAGAAGAGUGGGUUUCGAGAUUGAAAGCCUUCUAAGAUCCAUAGGAAAAUGCAUGUCAUUAGUUGUUUUGGGUCUCUGGAUUUUGUGGAUUUUACUCAAGGGUUUUAUGCCAUUGCCACUGGCGGAGCCACCAUGGGGUCAAUGGCAGCCAUGAAAAUGGGCUUGAAGGUCCCUACCCCUUAAAGUUGCGUAACAGCUGCUCAACGGAAGUCCAGAGAAGGAGAAGGAGCUAGCCGUCGUCGCAGGGUUUUUGUCAGCCUCUUUGUUAGGCCAUCAAGUCAUUGAGGAUUUGUGCUGGGUGAGGAAAAUGGAGGGGCUGCGUUCUGGGGAUGGUCGAGGAAGGGUUAGGGGGGGUUAGGUUGUUUUUCUUCUUGUUUUUGUUUUUGUUUUUGUUUUUUGUUUUUUAAUAGUAAUUUUUACUUUGAGAGCCCAUCCCUAUUAACAAUUUAUCGAAUAUUUUAAACACGUUUGCUAAUAUCACUUUAUCUAUUUUUAAAUUUGUUUUUGUUUCAAUAGCUUUUUCUUUUUUGGUACUAUUAAUUUCUUAAAUCGUUUUAAUUUUAUUUUUAUCAAAUAGCUAUUUAGUCGCUUCGUACACAAAUUGUUUGCCCAUAAUUAACUUCCCAAAAGUCCCCCAAAUUUUGUUAGAACAGCAUUAAUAUAAGUUUUAGGAUGAUGAAGGUUAUGAACAGUUUAUUUAUUGAUUUAUUUUUUGGUUUCUUGAAGUAAUUGUGUAUUGGGAAUCGAAAAAUUAAUCCGAAAAUCAAACUCCUAGAAACGCAAUCGUCUCUGAACUUUGAGCCUAUCAAAUUUUGUGUGGUCAUUAAUAAAUCUAUUAAAAUAAUGAAGGUCCAGGGAGGUAUCAAUUGAUAGAAAUAUCUAACACAAAGCUUAAUAAAAGAAAAUGAGUCGACAAACUUGAUAUUAAAAUUAUGUGACAGGCGAAACUUGCUGGGGCUAUUGAUAGCAACAGCUAAUACAAAUUGAAAACAUGAAAUGUUACAAUUAACAAAAGAAAUGUAUACAGUGGGCAUCACUACAAAUUUACCCUGAAUAUAUUGUGGAUAGCAGCAAUAUGUCCUAACUAUCCACUUACUGGGAAAAACAAAAAAUCAAAAGAAUUCUAUAACAGAUGCGAUCCCCGGUAAAAGCGCAAAAAUUAAGUGCAAGUGAGAUGAAUAUAGAUAGGCAUCAUGCUGCAAACAGACUAGUACUAACAAAGGUUCAAGCAAAGAAUAACAGCUGCAAAAUUAGGCUGGGUUGUCCAAUCAGAGGCCGCCCUUUUGUUUCAAGGUGAUCUUGUCCCCGAGACUGAGGGCAAUGCCUUGAGUCUUGCUUCUAAUUCUGAUGUAUCCACUGAGCUUACCAUCUGCUUGUUUCUCAACACUCACAUUCACCAAAGCAUCCUCCCCGAAAACACUCUUUGCGUACAGAUUGGCAGCGAGGACUCCACAUUCUCCUUCCAGUGCCAAUCUAAUGCCCAAUUAGCCAGGGACGAGCAGGAAUAAAUGACCACCAAUCAUCCGCCCAGAAGGCAUAAAGAGAUUAAAAAGAAAAUACACUUACUCCUAUAUGCAUGUUACAUGUAUUUAUGCACCUAUGGAAAAUGUCAAUAUUGAACUGUAUUUUGUUUACAUUAUGACAUGGUGGCUAAGUUUUUACGUCACGUGUGCUACACUACUCCACUUCCAUCAAUUAGGUACUCUACCAAGCACUGGUAACGUAUCACACUUGUAAAGGUGACCAACAUGGCACUACCAUUGACAACUAUGUCAACUUCUUAAAUGAUUGUUGUAGAAAAUUAUAUCAUAUGUACACAUGUAUAUGUUUGUAUGCUUGCAUGUAAAUAGAUAUGUAUGAUUCUGUGCAUCAUGAAAAGAAUAAUUUAUUUCUUCAACAUGUAAAUAGAUAUGUAUGAUUCUGUGAUUCUGUGUAUGAUAAACAUGGUUAAUAGAGUGCCAAAACUUACGGUGGAGUCAGGCACUUCAUGUUAGUCGCUUUAACAACAUGAUUCAGAAAUUCCUUCUCGUCCUGAAUAACAGUAUUUACAGCAACCUGGGGAAAACAGUGUGUUAAUGCAUGGUAGAAUCCAAAUGCAUCUACCAAGGAAGAGCAGGGGUGGCAAGAAAGAAAUUGUAAACUAACAUAUAAGAUACACAUUGCUUGUGGAUGAGAACCCAAACAAAAGUCCACAGUAAGGAAAUGUUAUCAAGUUAUAAAAAAGAAAUCAUAAUUAAGGACAUCUAAGAUUCACAUUGUCAUUUAAUGUGAGAACGAAAACACAGGUCCACAAGCAUUAGAUAUGUAAAGAUGAUGCAUGAGCUAACACCCAAGGACGAUUCCGAACCAACACCAUCUACAAGAGCCUCCUUUAUUCAGCAGUAAUUAGAUAACACGAAAGCAAUUACCCAAGUUGCAUCAUGUAUGGUGCAACAACCACACAACGUAUCCACUAGCACGAGCCCACUGAUAUACUACUGAAUCUAUGCCAUUAAGAAACUCACAACUAUCAUUAUAACCAUAAUAAUAGCUACCAUAAUUAUUAUACUACAGCUUUAUUACCAGCACAGCAUCAUCAUAAUCAUAACCCGAAACUCAAGCAAUUAAAUAUCAAUGAAGAGGUUCAUCAUAUAAAUGCAUGUCUUGUAAGCCAUAUCUGAACAUUGGCAUUCGUGAACAUAAGCAUAACAUGAUCAAUUGAUGAUCAUGUAAUUGGGUUCAAAGACAUCAUAUCCUUUUGGGUCGUUGUGAAACCAUUUCAAAGAAGAAGCAUCUAAUGAUCAUAUCAAUGAAGAACCAAAAAAAAUUACAAAAAAUAAAAUAAAAUGAAAAACCAUAUCAAAUUACCGUACCUUGUUCUCCCACUCAAACUCAGCCCACAUUGUCCUAAAUGACACGUCAGCACAUGACGCAGGAGAGAUGUAAUCCAUUAUAUCAAUAUGAAUGUCAUUGAGAACAAUAACUGUUCUCUCAAGCACAUUUGAAGAAGUCUCAUAUACAAUGUUACCGAAUAUAACUCCCGUUUCAGUUGAAGAGACCUUAAUGUUAGCCUUUAUCUGUUUGCUUGAUUCCGGAGCUAGCGUAUAGUUUUGUGGACGCUCAACAAGUUUCAGAUCACCCAUUGUCGCCAACUCCAAGCACAAAUUCUGAAGGGUUUCCUUGGUUCGAUUGAUGACGGUAACAUCAAGAACAAUGUCAUAAUGAUUAACUGUUACAUAGGCUUCAGCAUAAACAGGAUCACUGAAUCCUGUGAGUUGAAGAAUGCGGUUGAGUUUGUUUGCAUCAUCUCUAUCCUUUGUGAAUUCUCCAGUAGCACGUUUGAGAUCAUCUUGAACCGCAUCUUCCAACUCGAGCUGGCUCAAACCCUGAAAAAAAAAUUGUGUACAUAUAAAAAGGCAUCCAAAGUUCCAAACUAUGUGAUGAAAACAAUGGUUUUAGCAGUCUAUCCGAAUUGAGACAAGAAAAGCCUAAUGCUGCCUUACCUUUCUGCUCUUAAGAUGGUAGAAAUCAAUAAGGUCAUCUGGUUGUGCACUCAAUAUCUGGGCUUUAGCUUUAGUUUCCUCUGUUUCGAGGAGCUGCUUAUCUGCAAGCAUUUUCACAAAGCUCUGUCUGCAUGACUCUAGCCAUAUCUUCCUCACUUCUUCACCUUUAUGGCAUAGUAACCUGAUGCAAAGAACUAUUCUAUCUCGAGAAUCAUUAUCAAUCGGAUGUGGAAGGACCGAGGAUUGACCCAAUUGAAGCAUAGAGACCAUGAUCAACAAUGCCUGUGUAGUUGCCUUGUUCACUUCAGCCUUUGAAGGCUGAAUCUCUUCCAAUCUCAAAACCAGCUUUGUUAAUGUGCAAGCUACAACUGUCUCAAGGAAAAAAUCACCCGAGAGAAUCAAUGAUCUCAAGUUCCCCACGGAAGCCAAAGAUCCUUGAACCAGGACAGGUGCAGACAUAGCAGUUUCCAGUGCAGCAGACUGGGUGGCAUAGGUCCCAUCUGCAAGGAUCACAGGCCUCCUAGAAGACACAGUGGUCGAGCUUACCACCUGAGAAUUCUUUGUAGCAUCUUGUGCCUCUUUUUCCUCAGAAGCUGUGUAAAAUGGGAGAUCCCCAAGACACUGCUUAAUGGUUGCAAUCCCACUCUCAACUUCAGAGAGCGAGAGACAAUACUCCCCGAUAAUCCAGAGGGAAUGAGUGCAAACCCUCGAAUUGCGGAUCUGGUAGAAAGUAUCUAGCAGCCUCGUUAUUACAGAAACACGCAGCUUGGGGUUGGUUUCAAUAAUCUCACGCACAAAAGCAGCCACAUCCAGGGCUGAAGCAACAUUGGUAUCGCCCAAGAAAUCCAUCAAAGGAUGCACCACCGUGCUCGCCACCUCAGGAAACUUAACUGCGCAUGCAUAUAUUGCUUGCACUAACAUCUGCCUAUACUCCCCGUUCUUCUCAAGCUCCCCACUCUGGGUCUUCACGACCUCCUUCUUCAACAUCAUCACAACCUGAUUAAUAUUCCGGGAAGUAAUCAAAUCAAGCACAAUAUCAAGAGUCUUCCUCCUAAUAUCCACAUUCGGACUUGACAGUGCCCUCAGCACAUCCAUAACCAACUCAACCAUAAUCUCCCUAUGCGAAGCCUUGAGCUCACUAAUCCUAUCCAGCAAAAUCAACUUCACAUUGUUAUCGCUCUGCGACAACAACAACUGAGAAUAAGUGUUGGCUGCUGCUUUUAUGGCCGUAGGUGCCGAAGACAACGACACAAGCGUUCCAGCACACUCAUAAACAACGGCACUCGACGGUGCAUCCAGCAACGAUAUAAUAAUCUUAAUGUACUUGGAUUUCUCACCCUUAUUCACUCUACAGACCUUCUUAAUCAAUUCCAACACGACCAUUUGGAGCUGUUCCCCCCACUCAAUAAUCCUACUGAUAUGUGUAAACAAAUAAUUCACAGCCCUAUCUUGCGCGCAAUUAAAGAGCAUAAGGAAAGCAUUUCGCUUACUGGAAGGGUCCUGCUCGGAGGCCAAGAACCGAUCGAUGAUCUCCGGCGCGCUAUCCAGCAAUGUCUCCCCCUGCGGAAGCCUAUACACGAACAUGAUCGCCAGCACGGCAUUUCGUCGAACAAAUGGGUGGCGGUGCUCCAAAUUGGUGAGAAUCGAAGGGAUCAGAGGCUCGAUGAUCUCGGCCUCGUUCAAUCGGCAGAGAAAUCGCAGCGUAACGCCUCGGAUGUACUCGUUCGGGUGCUGAAGAUUGUUGCGGAGGUUCUGGCAGAUGAGGAUCAUCUCCGGGAGGAUCUUGCCUUUGGAGUCGGUUUUCUCUACGAUCUCAAGGUAGAGGAGGAGGAGCUUCUGGACUGUGUGGUCCUCGGAGGGCAGUACGUAUCGGAUGAUGGUGAUAAAGAGGUGGGGAAUGGUGUCGCCGUUGAGGAGGAGCAUGAUGGCCUUCUUGAGGGCUUCGAUCUUCAAUUCGACGUCGUUUCCUUCAAGGGCUUCUUUAAUCUCGUUGGCUAGGGCUGGUGUGCCUUUGUCGAAGUGGACGAGGAGAGUGCAUGACUUCUCCAUCAUUGGGGAUCCGAAUCGGAAUUGGAUCUCAGGGAAUCAGAAAUGCCGGAUCUAAAUGAGAGAAAUGAGAAGGAGGAGAAGAACAAGAAGAGAUCUGGGUUUGUUUUGGUUGUGGUGGAUCCGAUUUGGUGUCUGGUGUUGGCUUUGGCUUAGAUUGGAAGUGACUACUGCUGAAUUUAUCUUGUGUUGCGCCUAAGGAAUUUGUCUCGUGUUGCGCUCAAUCAUUUAUCAAGUAGAAAGUUUGGUGUUUGGCCCCUUUAGGCUUUGAUGUUUACAAUUUGGAGAGUUUUAAAUCGCCCCGACGGCAUGGCAUGGCGCUGGUUUUUGAGAAGAAAAUAUAUUUCAUUAAAAAAAACCAUGAAACAUACAGAGUGAGUAAACCAAGAUAAAGAUUCAAGAAUUAGUGACAGGCCCAAAGGGCCCAACAAGAAAAUAAAAACAAGUGUGAGGCCUUGAUAAUAAAAAUAUGGAAUAGAAAGGUAACAAUAUAAAAAGCAAGCUCGCAAGAAUACAAAUGAUUUGAAUUUAAUUUGUAUAUUUUUUAUUAAAUUAAAGAAAAUGGCUUGAUAAUUAAAAUAAUUUAAAUAAAUAUCUCUCUCUCUCCCUUUAAAAAAAUAAAAGUCACUCAAAAUAUUUUGGCAUAUAGAGCUUGUGGUCAUCCUUUACAAACCGAUUUCGUAGCGUAGGGAAAAUCUUACAUGGGCCAAAUGAGAAGGGAGAAAUUUACUUUGAUGUUAACCACAAAUUAAUUACAAUUAUUAUUUAUACCAUAUUUAUUAAGUUCGAUAAACAUUUUAUCAAUAAAUGUGUUACGCAUAACAUUAUUCUUUUCUCAAACCAUAUAGUAUUUUGUUCAAAAACUUGGGACAUUGAUCCAUGACUAACAUAAAAUUAGUUGAGCAAUCUUGCUCUUCCAACUUUUGAUAUUCAUUCAAAUCAAGCUUUUAUUAAUUAAAGAUUGAAAGCAAUUACCCAAAUACGUAUGAAUUAAUCUAUUUUUUUAAAUUGAAAUGUUGCAGUUUUAAUUAUUAAAUUGUUUUAUUUUAUUUUAUAAAAAAGCAAUAAACUUUUAUUAGAUCAAUAAGAAAAAGUAGUACAAAGGACAUAGACUCUAUAACAAGAUGACAGACGUGGGUAAAACUUCCCCAAGUCAACUGCAAAAGAUGAAGUAAUGAUCUGGAAAACUCACACAGCUUAAUAAAAGAAAAUGAGUCCAUAAACUUGAUAUUAAAAUAUGUGACAAGCGAAACUUGCUGGGGGUAUUGAUAGCAACAGCUAAUACAAAUUGAAAACAGGAAAUGUUACAAUUAACAACAGAAAUGCAUACGGUGGGCAUCGCUACAAAAUUACUUGAAAAAUAUUGUGGAUGGCAGCAAUACGUCCUAACCAUCCUCUUACUUGAAAAGCAAAAAAAGCAAAAGAAUCCUAUAACAAACACGAUCCUCAGUAAAAGGUUGAAGCAAGAAUAACAGCUGCAAAAUUAGGCUGUGUCCAAUCAGAGGCCGCCCUUCUGUUUCAAGGUGAUCUUGUCCCCAAGACUGAGGGCAAUGCCUUGAGUCUUGCUUCUAAUUCUGAUGUAUCCACUUAGCUUACCAUCGGCUUGUUUCUCAACACUCACAUUCACCAAAGCAUCCUCCCCGAAAACACUCUUUGCGUACAAAUUUGCAGCGAGGACUCCACACUCUCCUUCCAGUGCCGAUCUAAUGCCCAAUUAGCGAGGGAUGAGCAGAAAUUAAUGACCAUCAAUCAUCCGCUCAGAAGGCGUAAAGAGAUUAAAAGGAAAAUACACUUACUCUUAUAUGCAUGUUACAUGUAUAAGCACCUCUGGAAAAUGUCAAAGUUCAACUGUAUUUU